This 253-nucleotide ribosomal RNA is filed under the name uncultured bacterium. RNAcentral's name for it is "partial 16S ribosomal RNA". It matches the Rfam family "Bacterial small subunit ribosomal RNA", at positions 524 to 776 of the family's 1533-position model. The record is from RNAcentral.
GACAGAGGGGGCAAGCGUUGCUCGGAAUUACUGGGCGUAAAGGGCGCGUAGGCGGGCCGGAAAGUCGGUCGUGAAAUCCUCCGGCUCAACCGGAGAACGGCGAUCGAUACUUCCGUUCUUGAGGGUUGCAGAGGAGACUGGAAUUCCCGGUGUAGCGGUGAAAUGUGUAGAGAUCGGGAGGAACACCGGUGGCGAAGGCGGGUCUCUGGGCAACUCCUGACGCUGAGGCGCGAAAGCGUGGGGAGCAAACGGG